This 531-nucleotide ribosomal RNA is filed under the name uncultured bacterium. RNAcentral's name for it is "bacterial SSU rRNA". It matches the Rfam family "Bacterial small subunit ribosomal RNA", at positions 8 to 573 of the family's 1533-position model. The record is from RNAcentral.
AGAGUUUGAUCCUGGCUCAGAACGAACGCUGGCGGCAGGCUUAACACAUGCAAGUCGAACGUGAAACCAGGCUUCGGCCUGGCGGAAAGUGGCGCACGGGUGAGUAGCGCGUGGGAAUCUACCCAGCAGUACGGGAUAACUCCGGGAAACCGGUGCUAAUACCGUAUACGCCCUCCGGGGGAAAGAUUUAUCGCUGUUGGAUGAGCCCGCGUCGGAUUAGCUUGUUGGUGGGGUAAAGGCCUACCAAGGCGACGAUCCGUAGCUGGUCUGAGAGGAUGAUCAGCCACACUGGGACUGAGACACGGCCCAGACUCCUACGGGAGGCAGCAGUGGGGAAUAUUGGACAAUGGGCGCAAGCCUGAUCCAGCCAUGCCGCGUGAGUGAAGAAGGCCUUAGGGUUGUAAAGCUCUUUCAGUGGGGAAGAUAAUGACGGUACCCACAGAAGAAGCCCCGGCUAACUCCGUGCCAGCAGCCGCGGUAAUACGGAGGGGGCUAGCGUUGUUCGGAAUUACUGGGCGUAAAGCGCGCGUA